Molecule: long non-coding RNA, 1378 nt
Filed under: Fragaria vesca (wild strawberry)
Lineage: Eukaryota; Viridiplantae; Streptophyta; Magnoliopsida; Rosales; Rosaceae
Description: long non-coding RNA (FVES_LNC005594)
Source: RNAcentral
UUUAUCUAGUUAGUUAGUGACCAAGAGAUACAUGAUUAAUAUUAAUUGAAUUAAAAACAAAAUAACUCUACUUAAAAAUAAUUCUCUCCACCAUUAGAUUUACAUCUAAAAGUGAUUGACCAUAAAUUUCAUUGUCACGAACCUCGUUGUUAUACAUAUAUGAACUUUUCUUACCAACACGUAGCUUUUAGUUUUUUAGCUAGGGGCUAGUGAGGCACACUACUGAUCUCGAUGUGACCCGUUAACCGAUAAACUUCAAGAAAAAGAAAAACUAAAUGAUGAGAAUUCUAAACGGGUUUGAAAAAUGAGAGAGUUGUUUGCAGGCUUAGCAGGUUCCAACGAGUCCUUAUUAAUGAGAACACGCAAAUCCGUUAAGUCUGUUAAGUUAAAGGGUUCUUGACGUGACGACCUGUUAACAACUUGCACGAGUUCGGGCUGUUGCCGGCCUAACAUAUGUUUCUAUCAUAGAGGACUCCCUUAGGGAUGGCAAUGGGUAGGGUAGGGUACGGGGAUCAAAAUACCGUACCCAUACCUUUUUACAUUUCUCAUCCCCGUAUCCAUCCCCAUAUCCGUAAUUAGAUAAUAGGGAUUCCCCGUACCCAUACCCUUUGGGGAUUACGUUUUCAUACCCGUACCCGUACCCGUACCCGUUAACAAUUAUGUAUUAAAUUAAUUUUUUUUUUAAAUACGAAAUACAAUUAUAUAAAAGUAUGAAAUUAAAAUUAAAUAGCAAAAUAAAUAAGUUUCAUGCUUCAAUCAAAUAAAAAUAAAUACAAGUCUUGGUCAAAACAGAACAAUACAGUUAAAUUUCAUUAAGAGAGUAAAAAUAUACAAGGUUCUAAAAAUCGCCGCCUAGGCGCCAGAAAUCACCAAUCCGUUCCGAUUAUGAGGUAAUCGGUUGAGCUGGGCGUCACCAAGGAAAACAGCCGCCUCGGCGGCCUAAGCGGCGACUAGACGGCUGGGCGGUUUGGUUGGGCGGCCCGAUUGGGCAGUUUGGCUAGCCGUUUCCCUUUUUUCUUUUCAUUCUGUCUUAGAUUUUUUGCCGAAGUGUUCAGAUUAGGGCUCGAAGACGAUGAUGAGGUGCUUGAAAAAGUUGGGCUUUGUUAGAAAUUGCGCUCAGAUCGCAUUGGUUUUCUUGUUGAGAAGGGAUCAAAGAUCGGGAGAAGAAGAAAAAGAAUGGGAAACUAAAUUUUGUUGAACUCGUGGGCCUUUGUGUUUGUUACUCUGUUCAACUGUGCGGAGUUCAUGAAGAAAAACAUCUGGGAAUUGAGGAUGAGAGACUUGAGGUUCUGUGAAGUGUGAGGCACACGUGGUGGAGUGGUGAAGGUAGUUUUUUUUCAAGUGGUGAAGGUAGUUAUGGACUCUUGUGAUAUGUGUG